RNAcentral lists this ribosomal RNA (301 nucleotides) under uncultured bacterium. RNAcentral's name for it is "partial 16S ribosomal RNA". It matches the Rfam family "Bacterial small subunit ribosomal RNA", at positions 509 to 807 of the family's 1533-position model. The record is from RNAcentral.
CAGUCGCCGCUGGAAUACGUAGGGUGCAAGCGUUAAUCGGAAUUACUGGGCGUAAAGCGUGCGCAGGCGGUUAUAUAAGACAGAUGUGAAAUCCCCGGGCUCAACCUGGGAACUGCAUUUGUGACUGUAUAGCUAGAGUACGGCAGAGGGGGAUGGAAUUCCGCGGGUAGCAGUGAAAUGCGUAGAUAUGCGGAGGAACACCGAUGGCGAAGGCAAUCCCCUGGGCCUGUACUGACGCUCAUGCACGAAAGCGUGGGGAGCAAACAGGAUUAGAUACCCCGGUAGUCCCUGUCUCUUAUAC